Molecule: non-coding RNA, 235 nt
Filed under: Paenibacillus rhizosphaerae
Lineage: Bacteria; Bacillati; Bacillota; Bacilli; Caryophanales; Paenibacillaceae
Description: T-box sequence
Rfam family: T-box leader
About the family: Uncharged tRNA acts as the effector for transcription antitermination of genes in the T-box leader family.
Source: RNAcentral
CGAAACACGAUGAAGGAAAGAAGAGGCUUUAUCGUCUCCAGAGAGCCGGUGGUUGGUGCAAACCGGUGACAGAGAAGUCAUCUUUAGCGUUCCAGAGCAACUGCAUUGAACUACCCAGUAGGUGCAGUCGGAUGAUUCCGUUAUCAAUCAGGUCUCCAAUCGGAAGACCUUGAGGCUGCCGUUCGCGAAGACGGCGGUGAAUUAGGGUGGCACCACGAUAACUCUCGUCCCUUAC